CAGAAAAAGCUUUCAACAGUGCCUGUACCGCUGAUGUAGAGUGCCAGACAUCUUUUUCCAAGUGCCUCAAUCAGGAAUGUACAUGUGAGACUCCCAGUUUCUAUGACACUCAGACUGAUACUUGUGUUCAAAAGAAAGCCUUUCACAGUGCUUGUACCGCUGAUCUAGAGUGCCAGACGACUGGAGCAAAGUGCCUCAACCAGAAAUGUACCUGUGAGGCUACACGUUUCUAUGACUCACAGACUGACACUUGCCUACAAAAAAAAACUUUCAACAGUGCUUGUACCGCUGAUGUAGAGUGCCAGACAUCUUUUUCCAAGUGCCUCAAUCAGAAAUGUGCAUGUGAGACUACGAGUUUCUAUUAUUCUCAGGCUGAUACUUGUUUGCAAAAGAAAUCCUUUAACACGGCUUGUACCGCUGACUUAGAGUGCCAAACGACUGGUGCAACGUGCCUCAACCAGAAAUGUAUAUGUGAGGCUACACGUUUUCAUGACUCACAGACUGACACUUGCCUAUCAA
This is a long non-coding RNA of Dreissena polymorpha, 519 nucleotides long. RefSeq lists it as uncharacterized. The transcript has 4 exons. The record is from RefSeq and is a predicted model, not a curated record. NCBI's taxonomy places the organism in Eukaryota, Metazoa, Mollusca, Bivalvia, Myida, Dreissenidae.